GGCAAACGGGUGAGUAUAAUGUGGGAAUCUGCCUUUUGGUACGGAAUAGCCUCGGGAAACUGGGAGUAAUACCGUAUGUGCCCUUCGGGGGAAAGAUUUAUCGCCAAAGGAUUGGCCCGCAUUUGAUUAGCUAGUUGGUGAGGUAAAAGCUUACCAAGGCGACAAUCAAUAGCUGAUUUGAGAGGAUGAUCAGCCACACUGGGACUGAGAUACGGCCCAGACUCC
Molecule: ribosomal RNA, 225 nt
Filed under: uncultured bacterium
Lineage: Bacteria
Description: partial 16S ribosomal RNA
Rfam family: Bacterial small subunit ribosomal RNA
Source: RNAcentral